UACAGAGGUCUCAAGCGUUGUUCGGAUUCAUUGGGCGUAAAGAGUGUGUAGGUGGCGAUUUAAGUGAGAUGCGAAAUUCCAGGGCUCAACCCUGCGAACUGUAUUUCAUACUGAAUUGCUAGAGGUCAUCAGAGGUUAGUGGAAUUUGCGGUGUAGGAGUGAAAUCCGUAGAUAUCGCAAGGAACACCAAUGGCGAAGGCAGCUAACUGGGAUGCACCUGACACUGAGACACGAAAGCGUGGGGAGCGAACGGG
RNAcentral lists this ribosomal RNA (254 nucleotides) under uncultured bacterium. RNAcentral's name for it is "partial 16S ribosomal RNA". It matches the Rfam family "Bacterial small subunit ribosomal RNA", at positions 524 to 776 of the family's 1533-position model. The record is from RNAcentral.